This 23-nucleotide non-coding RNA is filed under the name Arabidopsis thaliana (thale cress). The record is from RNAcentral. Lineage: Eukaryota; Viridiplantae; Streptophyta; Magnoliopsida; Brassicales; Brassicaceae.
UCCAAGGGUUUUGGGAUGUCUUA